GAUGAACGCUAGCUACAGGCUUAACACAUGCAAGUCGCGGGGCAGCAUGAAUUUAGCUUGCUAAAUUUGAUGGCGACCGGCGCACGGGUGAGUAACGCGUAUCCAACCUUCCCCUGUCCACGGGAUAGCCCGUCGAAAGGCGGAUUAAUACCGUAUGAGGUCACACGAUGGCAUCAGACUGUGACGAAAGGUUUUGCGGACAGGGAUGGGGAUGCGUCCGAUUAGGUAGUCGGCGGGGUAACGGCCCACCGAGCCGACGAUCGGUAGGGGUUCUGAGAGGAAGGUCCCCCACAUUGGAACUGAGACACGGUCCAAACUCCUACGGGAGGCAGCAGUGAGGAAUAUUGGUCAAUGGACGUAAGUCUGAACCAGCCAAGUAGCGUGCAGGAUGACGGCCCUAUGGGUUGUAAACUGCUUUUAUGCGGGGAUAAAGUGGGGAUGUAUCCUUUUGCAGGUACCGCAUGAAUAAGGACCGGCUAAUUCCGUG
This 487-nucleotide ribosomal RNA is filed under the name uncultured bacterium. Its description in RNAcentral is "bacterial SSU rRNA". It matches the Rfam family "Bacterial small subunit ribosomal RNA", at positions 28 to 507 of the family's 1533-position model. The record is from RNAcentral.